RNAcentral lists this ribosomal RNA (346 nucleotides) under Pseudovates chlorophaea. RNAcentral describes it as "partial 16S ribosomal RNA". The record is from RNAcentral. Lineage: Eukaryota; Metazoa; Arthropoda; Insecta; Mantodea; Mantidae.
GGCCGCAGUAUUUUGACUGUGCAAAGGUAGCAUAAUCAUUAGUCUUUUAAUUAAGGGCUAGUAUGAAUGGUUGGACGAGGUGAAUUCUGUUUUAUGUUAAUUUAAGUUGAAUUUAGUUUUUGAGUAAAAAGACUUAAAUAUUAUUAAGGGACGAGAAGACCCUAUAGAGUUUAAUAUAUGUAAUAAUUAAUUAAGUUAUAAUUUAAUUUUUGAUUAUUAUGCAAUUUAUUUAAUUGGGGUGAUUAAGAGAUAUAUAAAACUCUUUUUAAAUGUUAAUAAUAUAUUUAGUUAUAUGAUCCAUAAUUAAUGAUUAGAAGAUUAAAUUACCUUAGGGAUAACAGCAUAA